GGGAAAGUAGUAUAAUGGUUAAUGCACCAUCUUGUCAUGAUGGGCUAUGCCGGUUCGAAUCCGGUCUUUCUCG
Non-coding RNA from Vanrija pseudolonga, 73 nucleotides. NCBI's taxonomy places the organism in Eukaryota, Fungi, Basidiomycota, Tremellomycetes, Trichosporonales, Trichosporonaceae. The record is from the annotation of a RefSeq genome assembly.